This 619-nucleotide long non-coding RNA is filed under the name Vigna radiata. RNAcentral's name for it is "long non-coding RNA (VRAD_LNC017270)". The record is from RNAcentral. Lineage: Eukaryota; Viridiplantae; Streptophyta; Magnoliopsida; Fabales; Fabaceae.
AUUAUCAAUAAAUGUUUCUCUUAUUCUCCUAUAAUCCUUUCCAUCAUAUAGCUCUGCAAUUUCUUUGAAUUCGCAUUUCAUCCGAAAGAUAAAAGAGAUCAUUCUGUAAUCUUCUCACCAUAAAUUCUUUGAACAAAAAUAAUACCUGAGAAUUGUCAAAGCAAUGAACAGUGUUGAAAAUAAUCUCUGCUUUCGUGCAUGAACAGCUUCAUCUAUGAAAGUGGAGCUCAAGAAAAUGGGGGAAAUAAGACGAGACAAUUAAGUCAUGUCCAUAAAAACACCUCCACCAACUCAUUAUGAUGUCUCAAAAGACAAUGCUGUAAUUCAUAAUAAAGGUUUGUGUUUAAAAAUACAAUUACUUUCAAUUUAAAGAUUAACUAAAUAAAAUACAACAAUGAAAAAAAAAGGCUAUUAUUAAUCAAAACACUACCUUUGGUAUACUUCCUUGAUUUGAUUUUGAGAUAAUCUCAUCACUCUUUAAAAAGUUUAUGUCUCCUUCUUCCUCGUCUUCAUCUUUCACAACCAAACCUAUUAUUUUUGUCAUUGACUAAAGUUCAGUGCCCUCAAUGAGAAAACUCUACGAAUCUCUGCCUUAUAUAGANGAAAAAAUGAUGAAUAC